Molecule: non-coding RNA, 1129 nt
Organism: Punica granatum (pomegranate)
Lineage: Eukaryota; Viridiplantae; Streptophyta; Magnoliopsida; Myrtales; Lythraceae
Source: RefSeq, a predicted model, not a curated record
UCUCCAACUUAGAUUGGCGCAUUCUUUUUUCGAGAGCCUCUGUCACAAAUAUCCCUCCUAUUUCCUCGGAUCAUUCCCAAUCCUCCUCAACACAUACCGGGAGAAUCGUACAACAAACAUAGACGAUUCCAGUUUGGCCACGUCCAAACCCAAAUUUUGCUCAGCUCACUCGCGAAUUUGGUCUGUUCCAAGACUCUCCCCCUACUGCCUUUAAUCUGUCAAGAGCUAAUACCUUGGAGCAAAAUCUGCAUGUACUGCAAAAAAGGGAGGAAUUGCUUUGAAGGCAGAAAUCUCGCCAGACAUGGCUUACUCGCUCCGACCUCAACAUAAAUUUUUCCAUGUGUCCACCCAAUAUCAUUAAGAGAAGACACAAUGCCAUAAAAUUUCUCAAAACCCCUGGCAACUUUUGGACUUCAGAUAUCCCCACUAUAGCAGCCUGUUUUAACAGCCAUUUCACCAAUCUCUUCACUUCCAUCCAUUAACGCUUCCACAGCCUGUUUCCACCCAUCCUUUCCCACAUUGACAGUUCCAACAUCUCCACCAUUCCCACCAAUCUCGAAAUCGAAAAAGCUGUAUUCUCCGUGGGAGGUUUUGGAAGACCAUCGAGGAGGACACAAUCACAGCGGUUCGGAGCUUCUUCGGAGAGAAUUUCUGCAGGUUUAUCCAACAAGCUUUGUUCUUCGAAUCUGGCUUUUCUACUUCGAUGUUGCUGUUCAGUCCUCUCGCUCCUGUACUUCAGCUAUUUGCUGCGAUCAAAGAGUAUCUGCUUUUGAUUGGAGAUUCCAAAGGUACCGUCAAUGGACUUCUUUCCCCUGGCCUCUUCCAACAUCCUGCUUGUUCUUCCCUUAUCUCUGUAAUGCUGCAGGACUUGGCUCUAUUUUCUUCUUGGUCUGCUUUGUAUUCUCCUGGGGCCGAAAACUUUAUUGCCCAUAAUAUUGCCCGAUGGGCCUCCUUUUGUAACACUAUUGCCAUCUUUUCCAUUCCCCCGGAUGUUCUUGUUUGGGAAGGGGAGAUGUAAUACGGACCAUCCUUUGUUCUUCAAUAUCAGUUAUAUCGUUUCUAGCCAAAAAAAAAAAAAUCAGAUACAUAUAUAUCUUCAUACAUUAUUGUAUCCGACCUAUAGCAAACA